This is a non-coding RNA of Phascolarctos cinereus (koala), 427 nucleotides long. Lineage: Eukaryota; Metazoa; Chordata; Mammalia; Diprotodontia; Phascolarctidae. The record is from RefSeq and is a predicted model, not a curated record.
UCUCUACAGGCUCUGCUUCUCCAAGUGAUGGCAUGAGGAGUGGGCUGGAAGCAGGACUGGUGGUCUGGGGAUUCAUGGAUAUCUGCCUAUAAAAUGGGAGAAUUUGUAUACCUCAGAAGAACUUGCAGGUAACAAUCUGGAACCCAAUACCUGCACACUUUGACCACCCAUGCAGACUGUGCAGGAGCUUACAAGAGGAUGGAGACAAGUGUUCCCGGUGAACACCACGAGAGCCCCAGCAGUUCACCCUUUGAACUGGAUCCUGAGAUAUUUGACCUUGAGGACUCCCAGUACCUCAAAAGUAGAAGGAUAGAUUGAGGCUGGGACUCAGCAAGAAGAAAGGUUUUGGAUUUGCCCCAGCUAGUCUUUGGAUGGGACUGCAAAGAGGUUCUGCCCAUGUAACUCCUGCCCCAAAGACCAUUGGUAU